RNAcentral lists this ribosomal RNA (498 nucleotides) under uncultured Saccharibacillus sp. RNAcentral describes it as "partial 16S ribosomal RNA". The record is from RNAcentral. Lineage: Bacteria; Bacillati; Bacillota; Bacilli; Caryophanales; Paenibacillaceae.
CACGUAGUUAGCCGGGGCUUUCUUCUCAGGUACCGUCACUCCAGGUGCAGUUACUCACCUGGACGUUCUUCCCUGGCAACAGAGCUUUACGAUCCGAAAACCUUCAUCACUCACGCGGCAUUGCUCCAUCAGGCUUUCGCCCAUUGUGGAAGAUUCCCUACUGCUGCCUCCCGUAGGAGUCUGGGCCGUGUCUCAGUCCCAGUGUGGCCGUUCACCCUCUCAGGUCGGCUACGCAUCGUCGCCUUGGUGAGCCAUUACCCCACCAACUAGCUAAUGCGCCGCAGGCCCAUCUUAUAGUGACAGCUUACACCGUCUUUCCUCAUUCUCCGAUGCCGGAAAAUGAUGUAUCCGGUAUUAGCAUCCGUUUCCGGAAGUUAUCCCAGACUAUAAGGCAGGUUGCCUACGUGUUACUCACCCGUCCGCCGCUAAGUGUUUUCGAAAGCAAGCUUUCGAAAACACCCCGCUCGACUUGCAUGUAUUAGGCAUGCCGCCAGCGUG